Molecule: ribosomal RNA, 480 nt
Filed under: Triticum aestivum (bread wheat)
Lineage: Eukaryota; Viridiplantae; Streptophyta; Magnoliopsida; Poales; Poaceae
Description: partial small subunit ribosomal RNA
Source: RNAcentral
AUGGUGCCAUGCUAUAGUAUCAAUGCCAUGCACCCAAAGGCCAGGAAUAUUUUAAAGCUUCUGCGCUUGAGAUGGAUCUUCAAUGGACUGUUCCUGACGCUGAAGGUCAACAAAGCCACCAUCAACAUGUUGCUCAGGGUCGAGCCAUAUGUUGCAUAUGCUUACCCAAACCUAAGGAGUGUUAGGGAGUUGAUGUACAAGCGAGGUUUGGGCAAGCUCAACAAGCAAAUGAUUCAUCUCGCCAGCAACAAAGUCAUCGAGGAGGGUGUUGGAAAGCACAACAUGAUAUGCAUUGAGGACCUUGUUCACGAAGAUCUGUUAGUCGGCCCACAAUUGAAGGAGGUGAACAAGUUCAUCUGGCCAUCCAAGCUGAAGGAGUCGCUGGGAGGUCUCAAGAAGAAGAGGAACCACUACGUUGAGGGUGGUGAAACGCGCAACUGUGAGAACUGCAUCAACCAGCUCAUUGGGAGGAUGAACUAG